This is a long non-coding RNA of Gavialis gangeticus (Gharial), 889 nucleotides long. RefSeq lists it as uncharacterized. The transcript is spliced from 3 exons. The record is from RefSeq and is a predicted model, not a curated record. Lineage: Eukaryota; Metazoa; Chordata; Crocodylia; Gavialidae.
CCCCUGCUUAAGCACCUAAUCUAUACAGAUGCUGCAGAGCUGAGUCGAAGUAACAUGCUGCCUCUUCUGUUAAAGCACAUUCUUUGGGGGUUUUCUUAAUGUUUGCAAGCAGCCAAGGCAGCCCAGACAUGAUGCUGGUAAUGUCCUAGAUGCAGGCCUGAAAAUGGGAGUGAGUGAGCAGUGCAUAUUGUCAGAGCAGUGAACUCCCUUGCACUGUCUAAUAUAGUUUAGACAUGCCCACAUGAUUUCUUCUUUCCCAAUCCAACUCAAAGUAUGUCCAUAGUUCUGCUUUUCUUCUGUGACAAGGGGUAGAGGCAAAGGUUUCCAGUUCAUUAUACUGGGGGCAGAAUCAGCAGACUGUUCAGGUCCAUUGAGAGAAAUCCCUGUAGUCAAUGCUCCAUUAAGUACUUCCAUUAGUAUUAGCAAUGCUAUCACAAGACAAAGAAUGGACCUAUCUAUAAUACUCCAAAAUCUGAUCAUAAGUUUUCAUAGAAUGGAAAAAUAAAAACAGCAAAGAAAACUAAAAAAGAGGCAUAAAAGUCCACUCUGAAACUAUGCAUGUGAGUUUUCCAAGAGAUGCAAUACACAGAACAGACUUAGUAACAUCUUCCAAAAAUGUAGUAACGAAAACCUUUUCGGGGAAUGAGGAAGUGAUCUCAUUGCUCUGUCCACCUCAUCUUAUACAGUAAAUGUACAGUAAACACACAUACAUUUUCAUGAAUAAAUUCCUUUGCAUACAAUAAAAUUCUGUUCUUCUGGUCAGAGCCUGUGCUGUGUUUCUACGAGAUUUAGCGAAGAGCUUGAUGCCCAAGGGGAGGAGGAAGCUAUGGUGGCUGUAAGAUACUUAUAUCAAUGUUGGGCUGUUCCACCCACAUCUAGGACUCCCCCA